This 433-nucleotide ribosomal RNA is filed under the name uncultured bacterium. RNAcentral's name for it is "partial 16S ribosomal RNA". It matches the Rfam family "Bacterial small subunit ribosomal RNA", at positions 29 to 507 of the family's 1533-position model. The record is from RNAcentral.
AACGAACGCUGGCGGCAGGCCUAACACAUGCAAGUCGAGCGGACCCUUCGGGGUUAGCGGCGGACGGGUGAGUAACGCGUGGGAAUAUGCCCUUCUCUACGGAAUAGUCCUGGGAAACUGGGGGUAAUACCGUAUACGCCCUUUGGGGGAAAGAUUUAUCGGGGAAGGAUUAGCCCGCGUUGGAUUAGGUAGUUGGUGGGGUAAUGGCCUACCAAGCCGACGAUCCAUAGCUGGUUUGAGAGGAUGAUCAGCCACACUGGGACUGAGACACGGCCCAGACUCCUACGGGAGGCAGCAGUGGGGAAUCUUAGACAAUGGGGGCAACCUUGAUCUAGCCAUGCCGCGUGAGUGAUGAAGGCCUUAGGGUUGUAAAGCUCUUUCAGCUGGGAAGAUAAUGACGGUACCAGCAGAAGAAGCCCCGGCUAACUCCGUG